AGUGAACGCUGGCGGUAGGCCUAACACAUGCAAGUCGAACGGCAACACAGGAGAGCUUGCUCUCUGGGUGGCGAGUGGCGGACGGGUGAGGAAUACAUCGGAAUCUACUUUUUCGUGGGGGAUAACGUAGGGAAACUUACGCUAAUACCGCAUACGACCUACGGGUGAAAGCAGGGGACCUUCCGGCCUUGCGCGAUUGAAUGAGCCGAUGUCGGAUUAGCUAGUUGGCGGGGUAAAGGCCCACCAGGGCGACGAUCCGUAGCUGGUCUGAGAGGAUGAUCAGCCACACUGGAACUGAGACACGGUCCAGACUCCUACGGGAGGCAGCAGUGGGGAAUAUUGGACAAUGGGCGCAAGCCUGAUCCAGCCAUACCGCGUGGGUGAAGAAGGCCUUCGGGUUGUAAAGCCCUUUUGUUGGGAAAGAAAUCCAGCUGGCUAAUACCCGGUUGGGAUGACGGUACCCAAAGAAUAAGCACCGGCUAACUUCGUGCCAGCAGCCGCCGCCG
Molecule: ribosomal RNA, 506 nt
Filed under: uncultured bacterium
Lineage: Bacteria
Description: partial 16S ribosomal RNA
Rfam family: Bacterial small subunit ribosomal RNA
Source: RNAcentral